UAGCAAGUCGUCCAAAGGCGAAAGCAGUUGUCAAGGGCAUACUCGUUGAUCAAGAGCGAAAGUUAAGGGUUCGAAGACGAUCAGAUACCGUCGUAGUCUUAACUAUAAAUGAUACUGACCAGGGAUAGGACUCUGUCCAUCUCGACUUCUUCUGGACCUUGGAGAAAUUACAGUCUUUGAGUUCUGGGGGGAGUAUGGUCGCAAGGCUGAAACUUAAAGGAAUUGACGGAAGGGCACACAAAGAGUGGAACCUGCGGCUUAAUUUGACUCAACACGGGAAAACUCACCAGGUCCAGAUACACGUAUGAAAGACAAGCUGAAAGACUUUUCUCAAUGAUGUAAGUGGUGGUGCAUGGUCGUUCUUAGUUCGUGGAUUGAUUUGUCUGGUCUAUUCCGAUAACGAGCGAGACCCCUUCGUUCCUAAUAGAGGCGGUAGCCCGGCUUUACGAGCGAUCGUUCUGCUAGCAACCGUCAUUAUUACUUCUUAGACGUAUCAGAGCCGAUAAGGUUCUUGAAAUGGGUUAAUAACAGGUCAGUCAUGCCCUUAGAUGUUCUGGGCCGCACGCGCGUUACAAUGGUACACAUAGAAAGUGCUUUAUACGAGCUUCUCCGUGGUCUAAUGAUCGUGGUAAUCCUUAGUCUUUUCCUUGACUGGGCCAGACUAUUGCAAUUAUUGGYCUCUAACGAGGAAUUUUUAGUAGUCGCAGGUCAUUAACCUGCGACG
Molecule: ribosomal RNA, 724 nt
Filed under: Didymium bahiense
Lineage: Eukaryota; Evosea; Eumycetozoa; Physariida; Didymiaceae
Description: SSU rRNA
Source: RNAcentral